RNAcentral lists this long non-coding RNA (1392 nucleotides) under Ficedula albicollis (Collared flycatcher). RNAcentral's name for it is "lncRNA (ENSFALG00000024437.1)". The record is from RNAcentral. Lineage: Eukaryota; Metazoa; Chordata; Aves; Passeriformes; Muscicapidae.
CAUAAGUUAAUUGCAGAGGGUAAAAAAUUUAAUUGGAGGCAUUAGAAUUGUGCCACAGUUAAAACACAACAGUCAGCAAGAAAAAUUAUGGACUGCCUUUAAAAUUAAUAUCAGACACAAGCACAAAAAACUAGAUAUGUAAAUGUCUUGUCAGAAAUUCAGCUCUUUUCUUAAAAUCAAAUGUACAGACUCAUUUUUGGAGCAUAUAACGUGUCCUUUGUGCCUCUGCAUAGCAACAAGCUGCCUGGGGCUGGAGGAAGGACACUCCUGUUACCCAGGCCUACCAUCUCUUGACAUCUUCUGCUGGGUUUUUGGGGAAAUCAGUCCUAUUUCAAGUUUUCUCCACACCCAUUCUGUCUGGAGCAAUGGGUAAGGUGGGUGGGCUGUGGAGCUCUUAUAUUGAACAGACUAGUGGUGAGCUGUAUUCUGUCACUGCACAGUGGUACUCAAAAUUGCAGGCUCACACACAAUGUUGAUUUUGUUUACUGGCAAAAGAUAUCUUGGAAAUGAUGACCAAUGCACCUAAUGGCUUUAACUUAUUUAUAGGACUGCACAAAGGCUUCAGACCGAACCUUUGCUCUCAUAUUGCCAAAGGCUAGAACUAAAUUUUAAUUGACAGCUUGAAUCAGAGUUAUUUCCUCAUCUUUCCCAAGGACUUGCAGGGUGUUGCUACCUGGACCUGCUUGCACUUACUCAGAGCUGAAAAGUGCUCACAGGAGCAUUAGGGCUUUUACCAAGCUUAAUUCAAGCCCCAGGUCUAGAAUAAGGAGUAACACACCUAGCCUUUGUCUGAAUCAAAGGCUUUUCCGUUUUGUGUGUUGAAUUAGAAUUCCUGAGGAUGGUGGAUGAUUCCUGAGGUGGCCAUUCCCAUGGGAGGGCUCCCAGCAACCCACCAUGUAUGUGAAUGAAUGCAUCUACAGCUCCAGUCUGAACAGAAAACCUCUUGACUACUGUUCUCUGGCCCUGUUUGUCCAUUAUGAGGUUUGGUAAACUCCAUAAAGAGGAUAUCUUUGCUCUUUCAGCCUACACCUCAGCAGAAAAAUACUUUCUGCCAGAACCAAAGCUUACCUUUGCAUCUGGGGUUAGAAGCUGUGGAGUCUCCCCCAGAAAGGGGGGAAGGAAAGCACUGGCAGAGGAGAGCACACAUGAAGAUAUCUGUCUCUGCUGUGAAAGUCAAUGGGACAUUGGAUACAGGCAGUAUAUUUUUAUUCUGGAAGCAGCCUGGUUCUUCCUCCUGCCAGUGUAUAUUAUUCCAACAAAAGACUACCAGCUAAGAGGAGAAACCCACAGCUACAGACUCUGUAUAAACCAAAACAGAGAAAAGCUGUUGUAGGCAAGGGAGAUUAAACAUGCAAACUACACAGCAGGUAUCAAAUCAAAACAGAGAAAAGC